CCCUUAGAUGUUCUGGGCCGCACGCGCGCUACACUGAUACGUUCAACGAGUUUAUAACCUUGAUUGAUAGGUCUGGGUAAUCUUUUGAAUGCGUAUCGUGCUAGGGAUAGAUUAUUGCAAUUAUUAAUCUUGAACGAGGAAUUCCUAGUAAACGCAAGUCAUCAGCUUGCAUUGAUUACGUCCCUGCCCUUUGUACACGCCGCCCGUCGCACCUACCGAUUGAAUGACUCGGUGAAAAAUCGGGACUGUGGUCUAGCUUGCUUAAUUGCAAACUUGACUGUGGGAACUUUCUUUAACCUAUUCAUUUAGAGGAGGGUGAAGUCGUAACA
This 329-nucleotide ribosomal RNA is filed under the name uncultured eukaryote. RNAcentral's name for it is "partial 18S ribosomal RNA". It matches the Rfam family "Eukaryotic small subunit ribosomal RNA", at positions 1470 to 1796 of the family's 1831-position model. The record is from RNAcentral.